This 4388-nucleotide long non-coding RNA is filed under the name Homo sapiens (human). Its description in RNAcentral is "PREDICTED lncRNA (TCONS_00004908)". The record is from RNAcentral. Lineage: Eukaryota; Metazoa; Chordata; Mammalia; Primates; Hominidae.
ACUUGUUUGUAUACAACCACGCCCGGCAGGAUGACCACCAGAUGACCGGCCGCAGCAAUGCCUCCACUCAGUCCCAGUUGGGCAAAGUUUCACUCCACUGCGGCGACGUGAACAAGAAUCACGGCUUCCUUAUCGUACCUGCCACAACACAUGGGAAUUAUGGGAGUACAAUUUAAGAUGAGAUAUGGAUGAGAACACAGAGCCAAACCAUAUCAACUCUAUCUUCAUGUUUGUUUACAUUUCUCUCAACUGUAUGUUUUGUGACCCAGAAUGUGAUCCUGGUAAACAUUCCAUUUGAGAAGAAUGUGUAUUCUGCUGUUGUUGGAAGCUGCGUUGUCAUUGAUGAAGGAAUAUUUCGAAGCGCUGAACAAUUCUUGAUAAAGUUCCGAAACAAACAAAGCACAAUCUUCCCUCGAUUUACAUGGGAGUUGCAUUCCUGGAAAAUUCAGUAUAUUUUAAAACCAUGCAAAAUAUCCUUUUAAAAAAAUAUGUAACAUGGAGUUUAGGACCAAGGCUCAGAAUAUUUCCAAUCCAUGGUUGGGUGCGGAACCUGCGGAUACAGAGGACUGACUAUAAUAUCAAGAGAUCAUAAGGCUGUCGGAAUGGACUCUUUGUGGCAAUAAGAUACCAUAUUAUAAACAGGACCCAAGGUCAUGCCAGGAGGCUCGUGUGGUCCCUGUUUGUCAUCCAGUCAAUACGGCCAUCAGCUUCUGGCCCCAGACACCUUUCCUCUGCACUGUGGCACAGAGGAGCAGACUGCUUUGGAGGGCAGCUUCCUGGGAGCUCCAGGGACCCUGGCCAGGCGGCCACUGCCACUGACUUCCUCGGCUCACUGAGCCCGUGCCUGCAGCUCUCGUGUUUCCUCUGUGCUGCAGUGGACGCUUAUCUUCCCCCGAUGGCACAUUUCUUUGUCACAGACAGGACCCUCACUGGCAGUCGGAGGACAUCAAGCCCUAGUACAGGAAGGGACAUUUUCACACUAAUCUGUGCCAGCUGGAGCAGUCCUGCCAUCUGAACAUCAUAUUUUGGAACCCUGAGAAGCUAGGAUGCAGUUAACAGGUAAGUAGUAAUGGGAGAACUUUCUAGAAACCAUGUCUGGAGGAGGGGUUCAGGAGCUGAGAUGCUGAGCCUGGGGUAGGGAAGACUUGAGUGGGGCAGGCCCUACAAAAAGGGGUUCCAUCAAUCCAAAUAAGGAAAAGUCACAAAGGAAAGGUCUGGUCUCAAUAGUGAAGGGCAUUGUUCCCUGAGAGAUCAGUGUGUUGUCACAGGAGACAGGAAGCUCUGAACACUUCAAGACAUGCUUAGAAGGCCCCCCGAUGUCAGCAGAAAAGGGGCUGCUAAUGUCAUCUCAGAAACCAAGUUAUCCCCAUGCAACAAAAUCAAUCACGUAUCAAAACAUGAUGGAGAGACAGCCUGCAGAAGUCAGAUGGUUCCCGGAGCACUACAGGAUAAAAAGGACCUUGAAAUACAGAAGACAAAGUACAGGCUCAUGAAUGUCUGGACACACCAGCAAAUUGAGCCUGACCAACUGCACUGACAUCCUGAUGAGUCAGCUUGAAUCAAGAAGAUGGGUCCCAAAUAACUCAGGGUCACGCAGCAGAGAGAGAUGGGGAUUAGUCAAGUGUGUUCACUCUCUCACCGACUCUUCCUGAUUGAAUUCCCACACUAUGCUAGGCACUUUUUAGGGAGCUGUGUAUAUUUUCUUUGGAGGCACAGGGUUAGGCCAUUAUCUCUUCCAAGGACAGCAGUUUCUCUGUGAAUUUAUUCCUUGUCCACCAAAAACCUUCUAUUUCCUCUUUUAGCCUCCAUGGUUACCUGAAAAUAGGAAGGAAGGAAGUCUACGAUGAUGGAGCCAUAAGAUAUAUGCAUUCUUUACUGUAAAAGAUCACACAGAAAUUCUAGUUUAUAGAUUCCCCAAUGUUACCAUUCAGCCUUUGGAAGCCUGAUUCAAUUUGAAAGAGUAGAUAAAAUAUAGUUUCUAGAACUGACAAGGUGAGGAUGAGACCCAAGACCAGGGUGUGGCCACUACCAUGUGAACACUGGGAGGUCCUCCAACCUCCCCUGACAUUUCUCUUGAACUUCUCAAAGUUACCUGCUUGGACCCCAGGGGUAUGAGUUCCAAGGGCCCGAUCAGCUAUGAGAUUAUAGGCUGAACUCAGGCAUCAGAAUUGUUAGAGCUUUAUCUCAGUUCUGAGAAAUGGUUAAAACCACCCUUGGGCAGUCACACGUGGAAUCACUUAUUUCAUUACUAUGGACAUUUUCUUGUAGGAACAAUACAUAGUGAAAAUCCACUGGGAUAACCAACAUAAAACUGAUUUUGUUUUCAGUUUGAUAUAGCAAUUGCAUUUUAUUUGUUUGUUGUAAGUAUUGGUAAACUUUCUUAUUUUUUAAAAACAGACAUCUGUAAAAUUAUAUACUUUUUUCCUAUAAUAUCCUUUAAAGCUGCUUGAAAAAUGUUUAUUAUGACAAUGUAUAAAACUGGUAUACAUGGCCAAUAAUAAAUUUUUUCUCUAGGUUGAUGGUCCUUACUAAAAGCAUUUUCUCACCUCUUGAGUUUCCACUUCUCUUUCCACUGAUUGAAAUGGGUUGCAUCCAACCUGCAUUCUUGAAAUGGAGACUUCUUUAGUGAAACUCCAACACCCACUACACAUCGGUGGAGAAGGCAGAACAGCCAGGGGACAUACUGCAACCCCUCUCCUCUGGACCUCAAGUUUCUCCUCCACUGUCUAUUUGUUAUUUCUCUCCUGUCUCAGGAUGAAAGUGUCUUUUCACUCCUUCGAUGCUAACUCAUCAACUUGUACUCUUGGUCCCAAAACUCUGAUUUGGCUUGUGGCUUACAUUAGCUCCUCAACAUCUUUCCUUCAUGGCUGGAUCUCACCCUUCAGGUUUACAAACUUAGUUCACUUCCCUGCGGACUAAAAAACACAAGUCUCCAUUUUACUCUGGCUCUUCUCGGAGCAACCAUUUUACCUCCUUCCUUCCCACCACAAUUGCCCACUGACUCUGCUACACUUCUCUGUCUACCUUCUGCCCUUGCCACUUAAGAAGGUUACACACAUCCAAACCACCAAAUCCAAGAGACUUGGAUCCUUAAAUGCUGCUGAACCUCUGAGGACAUCUAACGUUGUUUCUUUCGUCUUUUUUCCUUAUGAAUCUGGUUCUUUCUUUGAAACCCCACAUUUCUCUGAUUUAUCCACCUUAUCUUCUUCCCCUUUCCUAUAGAAUAUGGCCAUGUCUGGCUCACCACUCUUGGUGGUCAUCUGCUUGAUGUUUUACUGCUCUGCCCAGUUGUCCUUCUUCCUCUCAAUGGUGGUGGCUGCCCAAUCUGCUGGACCCCUCAGUUCUAAUUGUUAGCUCAUUUCCUCAAAGAGAUGGCUUUUAAAACCUAGCCCAGGCAAACCCAAACUCAUCAUCUUGCCCACUGUGCUAGAUCUUUUCUGAUUGUUUGCCCAAUUCAAAAUGGAUUCUCCAUUCUUUGGAGAUGGACACCGAUCUAUAAGGUAGGCCCCAAGCAGCCAUUUGACCUGACUUCCUGGUCACAGGUGACUGGCACAGGGACAGCCACCUGCCUAAGACUCCUGUUUUUAAGUGAGAGAAACAAGAACUGGAUAAAGACUCAGUAGUGAAUGGUACUGCUCUGAGAGAAAGGUGCAUGGAUUCCUGGUGCUAGGGGCCCUUAGAGCUGCCCCACUUCCCAUCUUCCUGGUUAAUUCAACUCUUCCAUGGAUCUCUCAUAUAUGCUAGGAAAGUUCUAGUACAGUCUGUCUCUUAGCUAAGCUUGCUAGAGUUGGCUCCUACUUAGAAAACUUUAAGUAGUGAAUCCACUGACAUUUGUCAUCCAAGAAUCUCUCUCUCUGUCCGAAACCCCACCCAUUCCCUUCCCCAGCGAGGGCUUGAAAUUUGACUCUGAUCGAUCUUUCUGUGCAACCCACAUCCAGAACAUUCAAACCUUGUGCAUUUUAUCUCCAAAAUAAUCCUCUCCUCCAAGUCCUCUGCUACUGUCCUGGUUCCAGUCUCUGUGAUCUCUUUUCUGGGCUUGUCCAGCCUCUCCAGGCUCCAGUGAUCAUUCUGAUCGUAUCACUUUUCUGCCUAAUAUCUGAGGCUAAGUCUUGUAACUCUUACCACAGCAUUAAAAACCCUUCUCCAUCUGGCUCACAGGUGCACAGGGCUCAUCAUCUGCUAUUUCCAUUCCUAUGUGCCAGCCAGGCCUGAUCGCCGACCUUAUCCAAACAUUGUCCAUGCUUUGCAUCUUUCUUCUAUGAUUUUUGUACUGCUGAUCCCUUUGCCCGUUGGCUCUGGUAAAAUCUUUCUCCUUUAAGGUCUAUCUAAAGUCCUUUUCCUAACCCAGGGGAUAGAGAAACGUUCCCUCUAUCUUCUGGGACAGGAGU